RNAcentral lists this ribosomal RNA (429 nucleotides) under Bacteroidota bacterium. Its description in RNAcentral is "Bacteroidetes bacterium partial 16S ribosomal RNA". It matches the Rfam family "Bacterial small subunit ribosomal RNA", at positions 355 to 776 of the family's 1533-position model. The record is from RNAcentral. Lineage: Bacteria; Pseudomonadati; Bacteroidota.
UAGGGAAUCUUCCGCAAUGGGCGAAAGCCUGACGGAGCAACGCCGCGUGAGUGAUGAAGGUCUUCGGAUCGUAAAACUCUGUUAUUAGGGAAGAACAAAUGUGUAAGUAACUAUGCACGUCUUGACGGUACCUAAUCAGAAAGCCACGGCUAACUACGUGCCAGCAGCCGCGGUAAUACGUAGGUGGCAAGCGUUAUCCGGAAUUAUUGGGCGUAAAGCGCGCGUAGGCGGUUUUUUAAGUCUGAUGUGAAAGCCCACGGCUCAACCGUGGAGGGUCAUUGGAAACUGGUUGACUUGAGUGCAGAAGAGGAGAGUGGAAUUCCAUGUGUAGCGAUGAAAUGCGUAGAUAUAUGGAGGAACACCAGUGGCGAAGGCGACUCUCUGGUCUGUAACUGACGCUGAGGUUCGAAAGCGUGGGUAGCAAACAGG